UCAUUAUAUCAGUUAUGGUUCCUUGGAUUAUUAACAGUUACUUGGAUAACUGUGGUAAUUCUAGAGCUAAUACAUGCAAUAUAAACACGAACCAUAAUAGCAAUGUUGUGGAGCGUGUGCUUUUAUUAGACAAAAACCAAGCGAUCGGUGAUUCGUAGUCAUCGAUUGUUAAAAUUUGGUUGAACUCUAAAUAACUUGCUGAUCGUAUGGUCUUGUACCGACGACAGAUCUUUCAAAUGUCUGCCCUAUCAACUUUUGAUGGUAGUAUAUUGGACUACCAUGGUUGCUACGGGUGACGGGGAAUCAGGGUUCGAUUCCGGAGAGGGAGCCUGAGAAACGGCUACCACAUCUAAGGAAGGCAGCAGGCGCGUAAAUUACCCACUCCCAGCUCGGGGAGGUAGUGACGAAAAAUAACAAUACAGGACUCAUUUUAGAGGCAUUGUAAUUGGAAUGAGUACACUUUAAAUCCUUUAACAAGGACCUAUUGGAGGGCAAGCCUAGUGCCAGCAGCCGCGGUAACUCUAGCUCCAAUAGCGUAUAUUAAAGUUGUUGCGGUUAAAACGUUCGUAGUUGAAUUUGUGCUUCAUACGGGUAGUAUCGAUUAUAAAUGUAGUCGAUUACUAUACCUUAUGUAUGUAAGCGUAUUACCGGUGGGAGUUCAAUAUUUGUUUAUUUGUGUUGGAAUGCGGUGCGACGUUCUUGCGUUGGCGAAUGUUUUGUCGUUUUGAUAUUGCAUCUCGUCAUUAAGCAUGGCGUUGUUAUCCAUCCAACCGGUUUACAGAUAUACUCCUAAUUUUCUUUUUUUUUAAAUAAAGAAAAAGAAAAACCCAUUACGGUGCUCUUUAUCGGGUGUUGUUGUGGGCCGGUACAAUUACUUUGAACAAAUUAGAGUGCUUCAAGCAGGCUAUAAAAUGCCUGAAUAUUUUGUGCAUGGAAUAAUGAAAUAAGACCUCUGUUCUACUUUCAUUGGUUUUUAGAUCGAAAGAGGUAAUGAUUAAUAGAAGCAGUUUGGGGGCAUUAGUAUUACGACGCGAGAGGUGAAAUUCUUGGACCGUCGUAAGACUAACUUAAGCGAAAGCAUUUGCCAAAGAUGUUUUCAUUAAUCAAGAACGAAAGUUAGAGGUUCGAAGGCGAUCAGAUACCGCCCUAGUUCUAACCAUAAACGAUGCCAGCUAGCAAUUGGGUGUAGCUAAGAUUAUG
Molecule: ribosomal RNA, 1200 nt
Filed under: Nycteribia schmidlii
Lineage: Eukaryota; Metazoa; Arthropoda; Insecta; Diptera; Nycteribiidae
Description: SSU rRNA
Rfam family: Eukaryotic small subunit ribosomal RNA
Source: RNAcentral